CUGCUCAAUGAUUUUUUAAAUUGCUGUGGUAUUUUGACUAUACAAAGGUAUUGUAAUAAGACUUUAAUUGAGUGCUAAAAGAAUGGACUUUCAAAAAAAUACUAUCUUGAAUUUAAAAAUUGAAUUUAUUUUUAUUUGUGAAGAAACAAUAAUUAGAAUUAAGGACAAGAAGACCCUAAGAAUUUUUAAAUUAUUUAUAUAUUGUUAUAUGUAUAAUUAAUUUUUAAUUGGGGCGAUUAUAAAAUAUAAUUAACUUUGAAUUUUAAAAAAUGAUCCAUUAUUAAUGAUUAAAUGUAAAAAAUACUCUAGGGAUAACAGCGUAAUAAUUUUAGAUAGCUCUUAUAGAAAAAAUAGUUUGCGACCUCGAUGUUGGAUUAGGAUACUUUCUUAAUGAAGAAGUUAAGAUAAGAAGUUUGUUCAACUUUUAAAAUCCUACUUGAUCUGAGUUCAGACCGG
This 456-nucleotide ribosomal RNA is filed under the name Haemaphysalis flava. Its description in RNAcentral is "partial large subunit ribosomal RNA". The stretch from base 163 to 456 matches the Rfam family "Bacterial large subunit ribosomal RNA", at positions 2078 to 2619 of the family's 2925-position model. RNAcentral also lists the same sequence under 2 other names. Lineage: Eukaryota; Metazoa; Arthropoda; Arachnida; Ixodida; Ixodidae. The record is from RNAcentral.